Molecule: ribosomal RNA, 1075 nt
Filed under: uncultured bacterium
Lineage: Bacteria
Description: bacterial SSU rRNA
Rfam family: Bacterial small subunit ribosomal RNA
Source: RNAcentral
AUCAUGGCUCAGAGUGAACGCUGGCGGUAGGCCUAACACAUGCAAGUCGAACGGCAGCACAGUAAGAGCUUGCUCUUACGGGUGGCGAGUGGCGGACGGGUGAGGAAUGCAUCGGAAUCUACUCUGUCGUGGGGGAUAACGUAGGGAAACUUACGCUAAUACCGCAUACGACCUACGGGUGAAAGCAGGGGAUCUUCGGACCUUGCGCGAUUGAAUGAGCCGAUGCCCGAUUAGCUAGUUGGCGGGGUAAGAGCCCACCAAGGCGACGAUCGGUAGCUGGUCUGAGAGGAUGAUCAGCCACACUGGAACUGAGACACGGUCCAGACUCCUACGGGAGGCAGCAGUGGGGAAUAUUGGACAAUGGGCGCAAGCCUGAUCCAGCCAUACCGCGUGGGUGAAGAAGGCCUUCGGGUUGUAAAGCCCUUUUGUUGGGAAAGAAAAGCAUUCGGUUAAUACCCGAUUGUUCUGACGGUACCCAAAGAAUAAGCACCGGCUAACUUCGUGCCAGCAGCCGCGGUAAUACGAAGGGUGCAAGCGUUACUCGGAAUUACUGGGCGUAAAGCGUGCGUAGGUGGUUGUUUAAGUCUGUCGUGAAAGCCCUGGGCUCAACCUGGGAAUUGCGAUGGAAACUGGGCGACUAGAGUGUGGCAGAGGGUAGUGGAAUUCCUGGUGUAGCAGUGAAAUGCGUAGAGAUCAGGAGGAACAUCCGUGGCGAAGGCGACUGCCUGGGCCAAACACUGACACUGAGGCACGAAAGCGUGGGGAGCAAACAGGGAUUAGAUACCCUGGUUAGUCCACGCCCUAAACGAUGCGAACUGGAUGUUGGGUGCAAAUUUGGCACGCAGUAUCGAAGCUAACGCGUUAAGUUCGCCGCCUGGGGGAGUACGGGUCGCAAGAACUGAAACUCAAAAGGAAAUUGACGGGGGCCCCGCCACCAGCCGGUGGAAGUAUGUGGGUUUAAAUUCGAUGCCACGCGAAAUAACCUUUACCCUGGGCUUGAACAUGCACGGAACUUCCAUGAGAUGGAUUGGUGGCCUUCGGGGAACCCGUGGACCCAGGUGCUUGCCAUGGCGUG